GUCCACGGCCAUACCACCCUGAACGCGCCCGAGCUCGUCUGAUCUCGGAAGCUGAGCAGGAUCAGGCCUGGUUAGUACUUGGAUGGGAGGAGGCAGGAUCUCAGGCCCCAGAGCCC
RNAcentral lists this ribosomal RNA (116 nucleotides) under Oryctolagus cuniculus (rabbit). The record is from RNAcentral. Lineage: Eukaryota; Metazoa; Chordata; Mammalia; Lagomorpha; Leporidae.